GGCCCAGUGGCCUAAUGGAUAAGGAAUCAGCCUUCAAAGCUAGGGAUUGUGGGUUUAAGUCCCAUUUGGGUUG
This is a non-coding RNA of Danio rerio (zebrafish), 73 nucleotides long. The record is from Rfam. NCBI's taxonomy places the organism in Eukaryota, Metazoa, Chordata, Actinopteri, Cypriniformes, Danionidae.